Molecule: non-coding RNA, 165 nt
Filed under: human gut metagenome
Description: Lysine riboswitch
Rfam family: Lysine riboswitch aptamer
About the family: Riboswitches are metabolite binding domains within certain messenger RNAs that serve as precision sensors for their corresponding targets. Allosteric rearrangement of mRNA structure is mediated by ligand binding, and this results in modulation of gene expression. This family includes riboswitches that sense lysine in a number of genes involved in lysine metabolism, including lysC.
Source: RNAcentral
UAGGUAGAGGUCGCGUGUUUCAAGAUUAGGCGGUCGGAUGUGUCAGGCACAGACGAAGGCCGCUGAAAGGGGAAGACGCCGAAAGGGUCAGAGGCCUGGAUUCUGAUUCUUGGGCAUGGGCUGAAGAAGUUCAUGACUGUCAUCGAAAGAUGGAGAGCUAUCUGA